This 917-nucleotide ribosomal RNA is filed under the name Bacillus sp. (in: firmicutes). RNAcentral describes it as "bacterial SSU rRNA". It matches the Rfam family "Bacterial small subunit ribosomal RNA", at positions 9 to 906 of the family's 1533-position model. The record is from RNAcentral. Lineage: Bacteria; Bacillati; Bacillota; Bacilli; Caryophanales; Bacillaceae.
GAGUUUGAUCCUGGCUCAGGACGAACGCUGGCGGCGUGCCUAAUACAUGCAAGUCGAGCGAACUUCUUUAGAGCUUGCUUUAAAGAAGUUAGCGGCGGACGGGUGAGUAACACGUGGGCAACCUGCCUGUAAGACUGGGAUAACUUCGGGAAACCGGAGCUAAUACCGGAUAAUAUAUAGUACCUCCUGGUACCAUAUUGAAAGUUGGUUUCGGCUAACACUUACAGAUGGGCCCGCGGCGCAUUAGCUAGUUGGUGAGGUAACGGCUCACCAAGGCAACGAUGCGUAGCCGACCUGAGAGGGUGAUCGGCCACACUGGGACUGAGACACGGCCCAGACUCCUACGGGAGGCAGCAGUAGGGAAUCUUCCACAAUGGACGAAAGUCUGAUGGAGCAACGCCGCGUGAGCGAUGAAGGCCUUCGGGUCGUAAAGCUCUGUUGUUAGGGAAGAACAAGUGCGAGAGUAACUGCUCGCACCUUGACGGUACCUAACCAGAAAGUCACGGCUAACUACGUGCCAGCAGCCGCGGUAAUACGUAGGUGGCAAGCGUUGUCCGGAAUUAUUGGGCGUAAAGCGCGCGCAGGCGGUUUCUUAAGUCUGAUGUGAAAGCCCACGGCUCAACCGUGGAGGGUCAUUGGAAACUGGGAGACUUGAGUGCGGAAGAGGAGAGUGGAAUUCCACGUGUAGCGGUGAAAUGCGUAGAGAUGUGGAGGAACACCAGUGGCGAAGGCGACUCUCUGGUCUGUAACUGACGCUGAGGCGCGAAAGCGUGGGGAGCAAACAGGAUUAGAUACCCUGGUAGUCCACGCCGUAAACGAUGAGUGCUAAGUGUUAGAGGGUUUCCGCCCUUUAGUGCUGCAGCUAACGCAUUAAGCACUCCGCCUGGGGAGUACGGUCGCAAGACUGAAACUCAAAG